This is a long non-coding RNA of Andrographis paniculata, 1087 nucleotides long. RefSeq lists it as uncharacterized. The record is from RefSeq and is a predicted model, not a curated record. The transcript has 4 exons. NCBI's taxonomy places the organism in Eukaryota, Viridiplantae, Streptophyta, Magnoliopsida, Lamiales, Acanthaceae.
UUUGCUCUAAAUUACUUACUAUUAGCGAAGGAAUUUGACAAAGAUUUAUAUUUCUUUCUCAAAAUUCUAAUUUAAAUCAAACCCUACCCCCGUUUUAUUCCCCCAAUUUGACGUAGUGAUUUGCAAAUCUUUCCUCGACGGCGAUUUUGAUUCUCUUCUUGGCAGCGAUAGUGACGACGACUGUGAUUCCCUUCUCGGUGGCAACAGAAACUGCGCUUAUCUCUUCAGCAGUGACGGCGAUGGCUGAAGCUCGACAACAGCGUGAAUUCGGGUCUUAGCAGUAAAGAACAUUAGAACAGUUCCUCUGUCCAUCAUUGAAGAAUAACAGUUUUUGGAUGUGAUCCGCAAUGAAUCGCCCUUGAGGCACCCUAACAUCGUGACACUCCUUGAAUAUUGUACAGAAUGCCAGUUGCCGAUAUGAUGAUUAACAUAGUCUUGAAGGUCCAUCUCUGUUCUGGUGUUUUCGACGGUUUCGCAGAGUUCAUCCUUAGCUAUAGUGGUGGGGAUCCUCAGCAUUCCUGAGUAGAAGUACAUCAGGUAUGGGAUCCUGCUCACAAGGAAAUCCUAGUACUAGGGCACAAAAGGCCUAUAACAAGUGGAUAAGCGAUAUUCGAGAUGGGCGGGAUAAAACUGCACACAAGAUCAUUCCCAUUGCGGUGCUCGAUGCGUGGAAAGGGCUUGAUUAGAAAAAGCAUAUAUUCGGGUUGGGGUCGUUGGCUUCAACGUUGUUUACUGAGCGAUCGUCAUUCAGUACCAGCUGAACCUACAGACAGGGAAUGUAUAAUGAGAAUAGAUAAGGAGCAAAGGAUUCUGAAGGAACAGAAUAUGACCAUCAUGGAACAGUUGCAGAAGAUUCAGGCUCACUUAGACCUUCGUGACCUGGACGGCGAUACCGGUGCUCCCUUGGUCAUGCGAUAUAUAUUUGCUUUUAUUUUGUUUACUUUCGGCAUUUUCUGAAUUGAUGGAAUGAUUGCUUUAUUUUAUAUUAUCGUAUAUUAUUGGAGAUAGAGUUUUUUCUUAUUGCACGGUGUGUUACUAUUUAAAUUGUUGAAAUGACUUCUUAUAUUGUUAGUUUGUACUUGUUUGA